RNAcentral lists this ribosomal RNA (445 nucleotides) under Acanthamoeba sp. AG-2012. Its description in RNAcentral is "SSU rRNA". It matches the Rfam family "Eukaryotic small subunit ribosomal RNA", at positions 752 to 1096 of the family's 1831-position model. The record is from RNAcentral. Lineage: Eukaryota; Discosea; Longamoebia; Acanthamoebidae.
UUACCGUGAAAAAAUUAGAGUGUUCAAAGCAGGCAGAUCCAAUUUUCUGCCACCGAAUACAUUAGCAUGGGAUAAUGGAAUAGGACCCUGUCCUCCUAUUUUCAGUUGGUUUUGGCAGCGCGAGGACUAGGGUAAUGAUUAAUAGGGAUAGUUGGGGGCAUUAAUAUUUAAUUGUCAGAGGUGAAAUUCUUGGAUUUAUGAAAGAUUAACUUCUGCGAAAGCAUCUGCCAAGGAUGUUUUCAUUAAUCAAGAACGAAAGUUAGGGGAUCGAAGACGAUCAGAUACCGUCGUAGUCUUAACCAUAAACGAUGCCGACCAGCGAUUAGGAGACGUUGAAUACAAAACACCACCAUCGGCGCGGUCGUCCCUGGCUCGUCGUCUCUCGACGAGGCGGGGCGGUAGCCCGAUGGCACCGGUGAAUGACUCCCCUAGCAGCUUGUGAGAA